This 2445-nucleotide long non-coding RNA is filed under the name Canis lupus familiaris (dog). RNAcentral's name for it is "lncRNA (ENSCAFG00000051161.1, ENSCAFG00805026370.1, ENSCAFG00845025634.1)". The record is from RNAcentral. Lineage: Eukaryota; Metazoa; Chordata; Mammalia; Carnivora; Canidae.
GUAACUAUUUAGAAAUGUAAAGGAAAGGCAGUAAAAAAGUGACAAAAAAUCUUUAAUUGUAGGGAAAAUGUGCAUCUUUUUUUCCCCAACAUGUGAAUAAAAUGCAUUUCCUUCUUUAACAAUCACAGUUACAAUAGAUCCAUGCAUCUCACAGGAAAAAAUUGACAAUUUGAUUAUGACUUGUACUUUUUGCCGGGGCCAUGAAAGUGGUUUAUGUUUGAAAUGUAUCAGCUGGAAAGUACUUAUUACUCAUAAACGCUCUGCUAUUUCACUUUCUGCAAAGUGAGCUGUUAACAGAUACAAUUUGAGCAGAAUAGCCAGAGGAGGCCUUUUGAUAUGCAGAAGAGCUGACCCGCGUGCUGAGCCUUUAAUUGGGUUUUUAAUUUUCCAGGCCAUCUGACAAUAUCAAACAUGAUCCCAGUGCUUGAAAUGUUGAUUGGAGGCUAAGAAGGAUGUACUACAACAUGGCAUUAUGGAGAGAAAAAGGGAAGAACGCAGGUAGAGAGGAAGACACUGAGAGCCAAAUCAUCUGCCUUGUGAUUUUUGCUGGUUUUAGAGAAUAUUUCCAAACAGUUUAGCAUUUCAUUUUAAAUGAUGAACAUCUGAUUAUUUUGUAGUUAUGGUGAAGAUGUUUGAAAAUAUUUCUAAAUCAUAUGUCUUAAGCUACUUAGCUAAACGGAUCUGCUCAAGUGAGUCGGAAUCGGAAAAAAGCAUUUUGCAAAUUUAGCAUGUUUUCUUAGGCAAACCUACCAAAAGUAAAAAAGUGGUUGAGAAAAUAUUUGAUUAAUUUGCUAUCUUUAGACGUUUUCUUUGAAAAGUGCCUGAACCACGAUGCUUCUUUUCCAAUUAUGAAGUUCUCAUUUUUAUAAAAAUGUAUAAUGCUAAAAUGGUCAUUUUAUUCAAUGUCAAGUAGAUGCUCAUUUAUAGCUAUCAAAAUGCCUGAGAAGGAGAAGCAUAAGAUUUAUUUUGGCUUUGGACAGCUUAUUCAGUAAACAUUUUUUUAUUUGCUCAUUUGUAAGGAUAAGGCGAAGAAUAAAAUCUAAUUUAUUAUUUUAUUGGAAGUCGGUAUCAGGGUGAUGCAGGACUGUGGAUUUAAGAAAUCUGUAAAUCUCUUUAAUAAAGGCCUGGGGAAUUAUUAGUAGGGACAAAUGUAAAAUGCCUGACAGUUACAUUUCUAAAAGAAAAACACAAUAAUCUCAUUAAAGAAAUUACUGACAGCGGCUCACAGAUAUUAAUGGUUGAAGUAACAAAGGACAUACAAUAUCAGAGAGUAGAUUAUCUUUUUCCUUUUUUAGAAUUUUGCAAUCGAUAUAACUUAUUAAGCAUAUCAAAAUAACAAGGUGCAGUUUUCCACUCAACAAUCCUCUUUUGCAGUACUAUUAGGCAAUUUAGAAUAAAAAAUAUUUUUAUUUAAUAAAUAAAUUAUAAUCCAAAUACAAAGAACUGUUAAACCCAUUAAAGGAGGAGGUUUAUAUAAAAAUGAUACUGAAUGCUAUAACAUAAGAACUAUGAGGAUGAUUGCCCUGAAGCUAACCAAAUAAUAGCUAUAGUCUGGGAGAUAUAUAUACACAUACAUAUAAUUUUUUAUAUGUUUAUAUUGAAAAUAUUUUGCCCCUUGAAGGCUAUCUAGGAAAUUAUUUACAUAUGUGUAGUAAAUUCACAGUCUUAAAUGUUAGAAUUUUGGGUUUUUUUUUUCCUUUUCAUGCUCACUUCUUAUUAGCUUUAACAAGGAAUGAGUGAAUUAUUCAACAUCAAGAAUAGUCCAAUAAAUAAGAAAGAGGGUUUUCUUUUGAAGAAAAGGAAGGCAGUUACAAAAUACUACAUAUACUGUCUCCCUAACAAUCUUUGAUACCAACACAGUAGGCGAUUGGGUUCAGUUUAGGUCUAUCUAGCGCUUUUUGAGAUUCUCUGUUCAACAUGCCAACUUAUGCUAUGUAAUCUGCCGUAUUACAUCACACUGAAUAUUACCCACUUAGAUCAAAAUUAAGAAAGAAGGUUGGUACACUUAAUUCUUUAAUCUUUCACCUGAGCCUCUUAAACGUUUCAGGGUUCCUAAAGCUGCACACUUCUCUAAGAUGUAGUAAAUAUUCAAUUAUGUCCAUCUUGUACUUGAAAAAAAGGAAGGCACUUACAGACUACUGAUCAGAAUAAUGUUUUCAAAUGUGUUAACGCAGCUAAGGAAUCUUAAGUCCUAGGCUGAGACUCACUGGGCACACUGCCCGACAAAGACCUCAGAGGUAAGAAUCUGAAUCCCAGCACACUGGGAAUUUAGACAAGCCUCGGAUUAGCACUCCUCAUGCAUUUCUCUACAUCAAAACUCAAGAGGAAAGAGUUUAAAUUUUAUGUGCAACCUUGUUUAAGGGAGGAAAAAUAAAGAUAAACUCAGGAAUACCUUUCCUGGUUUAGGAAGAGGCAUCUUAUGCCUUAAUAUUGUAAGAACUUAAA